This 420-nucleotide ribosomal RNA is filed under the name Micromonospora sp. 4C. RNAcentral's name for it is "bacterial SSU rRNA". It matches the Rfam family "Bacterial small subunit ribosomal RNA", at positions 24 to 449 of the family's 1533-position model. The record is from RNAcentral. Lineage: Bacteria; Bacillati; Actinomycetota; Actinomycetes; Micromonosporales; Micromonosporaceae.
UCAGGACGAACGCUGGCGGCGUGCUUAACACAUGCAAGUCGAGCGGAAAGGCCCUUCGGGGUACUCGAGCGGCGAACGGGUGAGUAACACGUGAGCAACCUGCCCUAGGCUUUGGGAUAACCCUCGGAAACGGGGGCUAAUACCGAAUACGACCUUCUGCCGCAUGGUGGGGGGUGGAAAGUUUUUCGGCCUGGGAUGGGCUCGCGGCCUAUCAGCUUGUUGGUGGGGUGAUGGCCUACCAAGGCGACGACGGGUAGCCGGCCUGAGAGGGCGACCGGCCACACUGGGACUGAGACACGGCCCAGACUCCUACGGGAGGCAGCAGUGGGGAAUAUUGCACAAUGGGCGGAAGCCUGAUGCAGCGACGCCGCGUGAGGGAUGACGGCCUUCGGGUUGUAAACCUCUUUCAGCAGGGACGAA